This 43300-nucleotide long non-coding RNA is filed under the name Triticum aestivum (bread wheat). Its description in RNAcentral is "long non-coding RNA (TAES_LNC001798)". The record is from RNAcentral. Lineage: Eukaryota; Viridiplantae; Streptophyta; Magnoliopsida; Poales; Poaceae.
UUUUGUGAUGUGUGUGGUGACUUGCACAAGCUUGCAAAGUGGUCACUUGUUAAUUCUGAUUUCAGGGACUUAGCAAUUCCACUAAGUCCUUGAGCUGUUUAUUUCAUAUGGCCAUAUGUUCAUGUUGUUUCCUAGUGAUCCGUGCCUCUUUUAAGGAUGAUCAGCAAGGGUGUUUUGUUAACAUUGUAGUGCUUUAUCCAUCCAUGUCUUUGUUUGCAAUUAUGGAGCACCCUAGCUUGAGUCAAUCGAGCUCUACUUUUGCUACUUUGUGAAUCUGGGCAGAGUGUCAACUUGUUUGCAAUUUUGCCGAUGAUGUUGUAGUUGAUCUUUGCAUGCUAUGCUAUUGUUCUUGCCAUGUCUAGCUUGAAUUUUGUGCCUUCUUGAUGGGUGUAUGCUUAGCUUUUCAUGACUUGCACCGUAGUGAGUGCAUCGAGCUCGUAAACAUGCCUACUUGAGUUAUGUUUCAGCAUGUGCCAGUUUUCACUAAGUCUGUGAUCUGAUUGUGUUUUUGCCAUGUUCACAUGCUUGCAAUUGUAUUUUCUGAUCCCUUUUGGCUCAAGGUCACUAAGGGACUUUUGUUAAGCUCUUUGAGUAGCUCCAUGCCAUGCUUUACUUUGACAUGUUCAGGUCCUGUAGCAUGUAGUUUUGUUGCUCCAAAGAGGGCUACCUGAUCUGAGAUUCCAAACAAGUGUUAAUUUCACCAAGUCUGAGAUCUGUUUGCUAUAUGCAUUUUUGUCAUGCUCGUUUAAACCUGUUAAUGGAUGAAUUGGCCGUAGCUCAGUGCUAGACUUUUGUUAAGCAUCUUGUAUGCAUCCCUGCCAUGUAUUUUGUUGUCAUGUUUGGGCGCUGUAGCAUGUUCAUUCCAUUGUAUUUAGAUGGCUACUUGCUGUAAAUCGCAGACCGGAGUCAUUUUUGAAUCGCUUGUCAUUUCCAAACCGUAACUCUGAUUCCGACGUUCUUUAUAUCAUUUUCAAGCGAUUUCAUCUCAUAUUUCCAGUGGCACACUUGGAUUCCCAAGUUGAGGCCAGGUUCAUGCAUCCCUUGUCAAAUCUUGCAUUUGCAUCCCGCAUCGCAUCCCGCAUAGCAUAUCAUCUUUGCAUCAUUUUGUUUGUUCCUUGCACGUGGUUGAUUGUGUCCUUGUUGUUUGUUUGUCUUGUUUGGGUAGAGCCGGGAGACGAGUUCACUAACGAGGAGCCCUUUGAGUUUGCUUUCGAGGAUCCAGUCAACUCUGACAACUGUGGAGGCAAGAUGAUCAUAACCUCGAAAUCACUACUAUCUUUGCUAUGCUAGUUUGCUCGCUCUUUUGCUAUGCCAAUGCUACGAUGCCUACCACUUGCUUUCAAGCCUCCCAAAUUUCCAUGUUAAACCUCUAACCCACCAUGUCCUAGCAAACCGUUGAUUGGCUAUGUUACCGCUUUGCUCAGCCCCUCUUAUAGCGUUGCUAGUUGCAGGUGAAGAUUGGAGUCCGUUCCUUGUUGGAGCAUUUAUUUACUUGUUGGGAUAUCAUUAUAUUAUCUUGUUAUCUUAAUGCAUCUAUAUACUUGGUAAAGGGUGGAAGGCUCGGCCUCUCGCCUAGUGUUUUGUUCCACUCUUGCCGCCCUAGUUUCCGUCAUAUCGGUGUUAUGUUCCCGGAUUUUUGCGUUCCUUACGCGGUUGGGUUAUAAUGGGAACCCCUUGAUAGUUCGCCUUGAUUAAAGCUUUUCCAGCAAUGCCCAACCUUGGUUUUACCAUUUGCCACCUAGCCUCUUUUCCCUUGGGUUUCCGGAGCCCGAGGGUCAUCUUAUUUUAGCCCCCUCGGGCCAGUGCUCUUCUGAGUGUUGGUCCCACCGAGCGAUGUCCGGGGCUACCAGGGGCAACUCUGGGCUGGCCUACCCGACGUCUGGCUCAUCUGAGUGUGCCGUGAGAACGAGAUAUGUGCAGCUCCUAUCGGGAUUUGUCGGCACAUUCGGGCGGUGUUGCUGGUCUUGUUUUAACCCGUCGAAGUGUCUUGAAGAACCGAGAUAUCGAGUCUGAUCAGAACGUCUUGGGAGGAGGUCUAUUCCUUCGUUGACCGUGAGAGCUUGUCAUAGGCUAAGUUGGGACUCCCCUGUAGGGAUUUGAACUUUCGAAAACCGUGCCCGCGGUUAUGGGCAGAUGGGAAUUUGUUAAUGUCCGGUUGUAGAUAACUUGAACCUUAACUUAAUUAAAAUGAAUCAACUGAGUGUGUUACCGUGAUGGCCUCUUCUCGGCGGAGUCUGGGAAGUGGACACGGUGUUGGAGUAAUGCUUGCGCAGGUUGUCCUCUAGUUUCUCGCUCGCGCUUUGCCUCCUCUUCUCGCUCUCUUUUGCGAACAGGUUAGCCACCAUAUUUGCUAGUCGCUUGCUGCAGCUCCACAUAUUUGCCUUGUCUUAUCUAUAAGCUUAAAUAGUCUUGAUCGCGAGGGUGCGAGAUUGCUGAGUCCCUGUGGCUCACAGAUUACUAUUACGCCAGAUGCAGGGCCUGAUGAUUCCGCUCCAGGAGACGCGCUUGAGCUCAAGUGGGAGUUCGACGAAGACUCUCAACGUUACUAUGUUUCCUUUCCUGAUGAUCAGUAGUGGUGCCCAGUUGGGGGUGAUAGGGACCGUGUCGCAUGUUGGGUUCUCUCUUUUAUUUUGGCGCCGUAGUCGGGCCAUGAGUGUUUGGAUGAUGUAAUGUUAUUUAUGUACUUGAUUGACGUGGCGAGUGUAAGCCAACUAUGUUAUCUCCCCUUUAUGAUUUAUAUUACAUGGGAUGUUGUGAAGAUUGCCUAACUUGCGACAUAUGCCUUCAAUGCGAUUAUGCCUCUAAGUCGUGCCUCGACACGUGGGAGAUAUAGUCGCAUCAAGGGUGUUACACCGUCCUUCUUGAAGUUCUUCUUACCCUUGCCUUUCUUGAACUUAGUGGUUUUAUUCACCAUCAACACUUGAUGUUCCUUUUUGACUUCUACCUCUGCUGAUUUCAGCAUUGCAAAUACUUCAGGAAUGGUCUUUUCCAUCCCGUGCAUAUUGAAGUUCAUCACAAAGCUCUUGUAGCUUGGUGGAAGCGACUGAAGGAUUCUGUCAAUGACCGCGUCAUCCGGGAGAUUAACUCCCAGCUGAGUCAAGUGGUUAUGCAACCCAGACAUUUUGAGUAUGUGCUCACUUACAGAACUAUUUUCCUCCAUCUUACAGCUGAAGAACUUGUCGGAGACUUCAUAUCUCUCGACCCGGGAAUGAGCUUGGAAAACCAUUUUCAACUCUUCGAACAUCUAAUAUGCUCCGUGUCGCUCAAAACGCUUUUGGAGCCCCGGUUCUAAGCUGUAAAGCAUGCCGCACUAAACGAGGGAGUAAUCAUCAGCACGUGUCUGCCAAGCGUUCAUAACGUCUUGGUUCUGUGGGACGGGUGCGUCACCUAGCGGUGCUUCUAGGACAUAAUCUUUCUUGGCAGCUAUGAGGAUGAUCCUCAGGUUCCGGACCCAGUCCGUAUAGUUGCUGCCAUCGUCUUUCAGCUUGGUUUUCUCUAGGAACGCGUUGAAGUUGAGGACAACGUUGGCCAUUUGAUCUACAAGACAUAUUGUAAAGAUUUUAGACUAAGUUCAUGAUAAUUAAGUUCAUCUAAUCAAAUUAUUCAAUGAACUCCCACUUAGAUAGACAUCCCUCCAGUCAUCUAAGUAUAACAUGAUCCGAGCUGACUAGGCCGUGUCCGAUCAUCACGUGAGACGGACUAGUCAACAUCGGUGAACAUCUUCAUGUUGAUCGUAUCUUCUAUACGACUCAUGCUCGACCUUUCGGUCUUCUGUGUUCCGAGGCCAUGUCUGUACAUGCUAGGCUCGUCAAGUCAACCUAAGUGUAUUGCGUGUGUAAAUCUGUCUUACACCCGUUGUAUGUGAACGUUGGAAUCUAUCACACCCAAUCAUCACGUGGUGCUUCGAAAUAACGAACUGUCGCAACGGCGCACAGUUAGGGGGAACACUUUCUUGAAAUUAUUAUGAGGGAUCAUCUUAUUUACUACCGUCGUUCUAAGUAAACAAGAUGCAAAAACAUGAUAAACAUCACAUGCAAUCAAAUAAUAAUGACAUGAUAUGGCCAAUAUCAUAUAGCUCCUUUGAUCUCCAUCUUGGGGCUCCAUGAUCAUCUUGUCACCGGCAUGACACCAUGAUCUCCAUCAUCAUGAUCUCCAUCAUCAUGUCUCCAUGAAGUUGCUCGCCAACUAUUACUUCUACUACUACGGCUAACACGUUUAGCAAUAAAGUAAAGUAAUUUACAUGGCGUUUCUCAAUGACACGCAGGUCAUACAAAAAAUAAAGACAACUCCUAUGGCUCCUGCCGGUUGUCAUACUGAUCGACAUGCAAGUCGUGAUUCCUAUUACAAGAACAUGAUCAAUCUCAUACAUCACAUAUAUCAUUCAUCAUUCAUCACAACCUUUGGCCAUAUCACAUCACAAAACACUUGCUGCAAAAACAAGUUAGACGUCCUCUAAUUAUUGUUGCAAGUUUUUACAUGGCUGCUAUAGGUUUCUAGCAAGAACGUUUCUUACCUACGCCAAAACCACAACGUGAAUUGCCAAUUUCUAUUUACCCUUCAUAAGGACCCUGUUCAUCGAAUCCGAUCCGACUAAAGUGGGAGAGACAGACACCCGCCAGCCACCUUAUGCAACUAGUGCAUGUCAGUCGGUGGAACCGGUCUCACGUAAGCGUACGUGUAAGGUUGGUCCGGGCCACUUCAUCCCACGAUGCCGCAGAAUCAAGAUAAGGCUAGUAACGGCAAGCAAAUUGACAAUAUUGACGCCCAAAACUACUUUGUGUUCUACUCGUGCAUACUAACUACGCAUAGACCUAGCUCAUGAUGCCACUGUUGGGGAUCAUAGUAGAAAACAAAAAAAUUUCCUACGUUUCACCAAGAUCAAUCUAUGGAGUCAACUAGCAACGAGAGGAGAGUGCAUCUACAUACCCUUGUAGAUCGCGAGCGGAAGCGUUCAAGAGAACGGGGAUGAUGGAGUUGUACUCGCCGUGAUCCAAAUCACCGAUGACCAAGUGCCGAACGGACGGCACCUCCGUGUUCAACACACGUACGGAGCGGAUGACGCCUCCUCCUUGAUCUAGCAAGGGGGAAGGAGAGGGUUGAUGAAGAUCCAGCAGCAUGAUGGCGUGGUGGUGGAUGCAGCAGUGAACGCGGCAGGGUUUCACCGAGCUUCAGCGAGAGGGAGAGGUGUAGCAGGGAAGAGGGAGGCACCAAGACUUGAGGUGCGGCUGCCCUCCCUCCCCCCUUUAUAUAGGCCCCCUAGGGGGGUGCGCCGGCCCUAGGAGAUGGGAUCUCCUAGGGGGGCGGCGGCCAAAGGGGUGGAGCACCCCCAAGGCAAGUGGAGGCGCCCCCUCCCCUAGGGUUCCCAACCCUAGGCGCAUGGGGGCCCAAGGGGGGGCGCACCAGCCCACUAUGGGCUGGUUCCCCUCCCCACUUCAGCCCAUGGGGCCCUCCGGGAUGGGUGGCCCCACCCGGUGGACCCCCGGGACCCAUCCGGUGGUCCCGAUACAAUAUCGGUGACCCCGAAACUUUCCCGAUGGCCGAAACUACACUUUCUAUAUAUAAUUCUUCACCUCCGGACAAUUCCGGAACUCCUCGUGACGUCCAGGAUCUCAUCCGGGACUCCAAACAACUUUCGGAUUACUACAUACUCAUAUCUAUACAACCCUAGCGUCACCGAACCUUAAGUGUAGACCCUACGGGUUCGGGAGACAAGCAGACAUGACCGAGACGACUAUCUGGUCAAUAACCAACAGCGUGAUCUAGAUACCCAUGUUGGCUCCCACAUGCUCCUCGAUGAUCUCAUCGGAUGAACCACGAUGUCGAGGACCUAAUCAAUCCCGUACUCAAUUCCCUUUGUCAAUCGGUACGUUACUUGCCCGAGACUCGAUCGUCGGUAUCCCAAUACCUUGUUCAGUCUCGUUACCGGCAAGUCACUUUACUCGUACCGUAAUGCAUGAUCCCGUGAUCAACCACUUGAUCACAUUGAGCUCAUUAUAAUGAUGCAUUACCGAGUGGGCCCAGAGAUACCUCUCCGUCAUACGGAGUGACAAAUCCCAGUCUCGAUUCGUGCCAACCCAACAGACACUUUCGGAGAUACCUGUAAUGUACCUUUAUAGUCACCCAGUUACGUUGUGACGUUUGGCACACCCAAGGCACUCUUACGGUAUCCGGGAGUUGCACAAUCUCAUGGUCUAAGGAAAUGAUACUUGACAUCCAGAAAAGCUACAGCAAAUGAACUACACGAUCUUUGUGCUAUGCUUAGGUUUGGGUCUUGUCCAUCACAUCAUUCUCCUAAUGAUGUGAUCCCGUUAUCAAUGACAUCCCCAUGUCCAUAGCCAGGAAGCCAUGACUAUCUGUUGAUCAACGAGCUAGUCAACUAGAGGCACACUAGGGACACAUUGUGGCCUAUGUAUUCACACAUGUAUUACGAUUUCCGAAUAAUACAAUUAUAGCAUGAAUAAUAGACAAUUAUCAUGAACAAGGAAAUAUAAUAAUCAUUUUAUUAUUGCCUCUAGGGCAUAUUUCCAACAAUACAUGCAACGUUCCAAUAUCCAUUUCCAUGCCACGCUUCUAAAUACUGCUUGCUCUCUUCAAUACUUGUUACUUGGCAACUGUUGGGUAAUUCUUGCUAUCAUUUACAUUUUCGCAACCUGAAACACUCAAAUGACUCCUUUGUCAUUGCUACUAAUAAUCUUUCUCAAGCAAGUAUUGGUUACAUGUAUGUUUUUGAAAAUUUUGAAAUAUGAUUGUGUGUUUAUGAAAAUUAUGAAAUGGUUUAAAUUUAUGUUUCUGAAAAUUAUUAAGUUACUGAAAUAUGUGUUUCUAUUUUCUGAAAUUAUUAAAAUGUUACUCAAAUUAUUGAAAUUUUUUGUUUCUAAAAUAUAUGAAAUGAUAGUUUGUCUCUUAUGAUUUUCUGAAUUAGUCACUGAAAUAAUUACUUUUUUUAAUCAUCAUUGAAUUAUAUUUUAGUUUUUAAUUAAAAUAAUAAUAACAAUUACUCCCUCCAUAAAGAAAUGUAAUUAUAAUAGUAAUAAUAACAAUUACAUUUUUAUAUUUCUUUACGGAGGGAGUAUUGUUUUUGAUAUAACAAUACCGAAAAUCAAGUAAUAACAGAUACAUAAGUUAUACCAUGUAGAAUACCUUGUAUUGCUACUCACGUGGCAGCUUUACAUGGCAAGAGCGUUAGAGUGCUUUUGCCAACAAGCAUGCUACUAGUGAACAAAUCUUAAUUGUAUAUACUGUACACCACAAGCUAGGAUUUGCUAAGCACGCAGGCAAUUCACCUACUGUUUUCCCCCUCGUCAAAAAAGAAGAAGAGAAACACACCCAUAACAAGUUUGUUCAAGCCUCACCCGCCAAAAAAGAAGAAGUUCAAGCCAUAUAUCAAUCUGAAUGAGUCCGGAACAGUUUCAUGAGACCAUAGGUGACCGCCAUCGCCACCAAUCCUCCCAGCGCGGCCCUCAGCCCGGCCCGCCCCCCUGGAGCGCGGCCCUGCACCGCCCCGAGGGCGCCGAACGCCGCCAAGGCCAGAGUCGCCGUCGCGACGACCACGGCGACCCGCACCCCGUAGCUUGUCACGAACCACGCCGCGAGCAGCGGGAUGGCCGCGCCGGCCGCGAAGGACAGCGCCGAGGCCGCCGACGCGUGGCACGGGUUCGGCAGCCCGGCCCGGUCCGCCGGGUACCCGCGCGCCUCCUCGAGCCGCUGGAGCCCGGCCAGCUCCACGUCCAGCUGCGCGUGGACCGACACGUACUCGCCGAUGGCCAUGCUGCAGGCGCCGGCGACGAGGCCCGCCACGCCCGACAGGAGCGCCGCCCGUGGGUCGGCGGGUCGCGCCGCGCCGAUGCCGAGCAUGAGCGCUGAGGUGGAGACGAGGCCAUCGCUUGCGCCGAGGACGGCGGCGCGCAGCCACUGCCCCUGCUGUGACGGCAGCGACAUGGCGUCGUGGGUGGCCGUGGCUACGCAGACGGUGCAGAGUUUCAUGGCCUCCGGCGCGGGGGUUGGGCCGAGCUCUGCUACAGCGAGCUUGGUGUCAUUGUCGGUGGCCAUUUUAUGUGGGAGCAGAGGCGUGCGACUGCCACACGCACAAAAGCAUACGAGAGUGUGGCGAACAUAAGACCCCGUAUAUAUACCGACGAGGCAGUAGAGCAGCGAGGCGAUUAUAUGUGAAGGUAACAUCUGUAGCAGUAUCUGUAGUGAUGCACAAUGUGACGUCUCCUUAGGAAUAACAAGGAUUUACAUACAUAGUCAUUUUCACUAUCUAGGUAUGGUCAUAUGCACAGUUUAUGUGCUUUUGACAUCAUUUAAUUUUUCGUACGUAUUUGUUCUGGUGUUCUUAGGAAAUGUGGGAAUUAGAUGUUUCUUACUGUAUUGCAUAUACUUUCAGAUUUUUUUUCUGUUCGAAAAGGCUUAAGGCCAUAAAUUAAGUAUCAGAAGUACUUACAAACACACCCUUACAGAAAAAAAUUACAUCAAAAUUCUUAAUGGUGCUAAAGUCUUCUUCCUCCGGCAUCCACCGGCAAUGCCUCGUGAACAAAGCUCGAUGCAGCCUCUGGGCCUCCGCCUCAACGAAGCAAACUUGUUUAAACCCAUGAGCUUGUAGAAGUGGUGGCCAUGAAGCCAUCUAUGUAGGUCAGAAGACGUCUGUCCGGGAUCUACGUCGCAAAUCGCCGUCUGCAGAAGAAGAGGCCGAAAGAGCAUGUAAAUACUCCAAAGAACACGAAAGCCGAUCAAAUUGAGAUGGAUCAAUCGGUCACCAAAGCUGACCGGUUGUCAUGCCAGAAAAGGGCCUUCUUCCUGGGCGUGGAGUUUCUAAUCUCGAGCUAAUGCUCCUGGAUGAACGGUGAAUUCAAAAAAAUAGACUUUUUUCAUAAAAUUAUGAAAUUUUGUGUGGCAAACUUUAAGAAAUGUUUGAAUUGCAUGUAAGUUUUCGUCAUGAAAUCACAUUGAUGGAAGGCGUGAUAAAAAAACAAAAUCCAUUCUCUCAAAAUGUUACUUUCAAACGCAUUUUGGACCUUUUAUUUUUUGCAACGACUUCCACCAAUGUGAUUUUGUGAUAAAAAUUUGUAGGCACUUCAAACAAUUCUUAAAGUUUGCCAAAAAAAAUCAAGAUUUUUUUAUAUAUUUUUUAUUUUACUGUUCAUCCAUGGCAUUUGAGUUCGAGAUUAGAAGGGUACUUCCAUUUCCUAUCCCUCAAAGUAAUAUUCGUGAAUGCACAAAUCCAUGUUGUUUUUGUUGCAGAUGGGCUUCAAUUGCCCGCCCAAAGGAAAUGGUAGCAGCAUUAUUGUUUUAGAGCAUCUUCAACAGGUGCCGAACGUGGCGCGCGUAAAAAAUAGCUUUAGCGUGCGCCUAUCGCUUGGUUUGGCGCGGCGCGCAGCGACCGCUCCAGCAGCCGCGCUAAAAUGCAGCGCGCGCGCGCGCCGCUCCAGCAGCGCGCAAAAAAUGCAGCACGCGCGCUCAUUCUAUAAACUAGAAAUAUAGGCAUUGGAAGCAUAAAAACUAGAUAGAUUGCAUAGAUUUUAAACGAUACAAAGGUAUUUUACAUCGAAAACAUAGAUUGCAUAAUAACAAAAACGACAAACGAUAAAAAACGAGAUAGAUUGCAUAAAAAAAACUACUCUAAGUCGCUAUCAUCAUCACCAUUAUCAUCCUCAGCGGUGUCGUCCGAAGUAUCUAGCCAGAUGUCCAGCCACCGAUCAUCGUCCCGCGUGAAGAACGACUGCCCACCUGCUGCAACGAGAUCGGACUGCGCAUUCGCCAACGCCUUCCGCCGACGCCUGUCCAACCGCUACUCCCGGCGCCUUUGCGUGUCCUUCUCGCGGCGCCUUGCCCAGUAUACCUGCUCGUAGGCGACGUCCUCCGGGUAGCGCCGGCGCCACUCCGCCAUGACCUGCUCGUCCUCCUGGGCGACGAGGAGGCGGCGCUGCCGCUCGGCGUGCUCCGCACGGUCUUGCGCCGUGUUCAGACGAGGCGGCGGGGCGACGUCGAGCGCCUGCUGGAGCGUGUACACAUCUUGGAAGUUCAUCUGGCCGCGCGGCCGGCCUAGGCGCCACGCCGCCGCGUCGUACGCGUGGGCGGCCUCGUGCGCCGUCCGGUAGGUGCCGAGGCCGAGCCGGAGAUCGCUGGAGCGUAUCUCCGAGUAGUAGCCGCCGUUGAGGCGUAGGCGGACACCGCGGUAGCCGAACGCUCCUCGACGGCGCGGCGGCAUGGCGGCGCGGCGGUGGCGGGGCGCUGGAGCGGUGGAGGCGCGUCGGUGGCGGGGCGCUGGAGCGGUGGAGGCGCGUCGGUGGCGGGGCGCUGGAGCGGCGCGUGGCAAAGAGGGAGAGGAAGAGGAGAAGAGGAGGCGUGGAGAAGGCGCGUGGCGCGCGCCGCACUUUAUAGGCGCGCCGGAAGCGGUGCGCAAAAAAUGACGCGCGAGCUGGCGCCUUUUCGCGCGCGCGCAAACGGUUCCCGCGCGCGCGAGUUUCCCGCCGUUGCUGGAGCGCGGCAUAACGCCCCGCGCGCAUUAAAAGCUGGGUUUACCGCGCGCGCGUCGUUUGGCACGGCCAUUGGAGAUGCUUUUACUGGAGCUUGAUGAUGUCCAAACUAAGGUACCCUUGCCUAAUUAUAAAAAACAAGUUAAUUAUGGAUUUUGGUACUAUCUAUGUACACAUAGACAUAUCGUUUGGAUAUCAUAUUGAAAAGAACAAGCGGUCAAAGAUUCACAACCGAAGACCAAUACCAACUCAGAUGUCCAAGACCACGUCUGCCUUGGUUGAUCACUAUCGGUCUCCCGUUUCCGCGGGAAUGAACGUCGACCCGGUGGAAACUCCUAUCCAAGAGUUUUGUAAGAACUUGGAAUCUUGGAUUGUCUUGCCUUGUUUCUUACACGCGUGGCUGGCAACCUGGCAGUAGCACUGGAGUAGGACAAGCAAUGCUUUGAGUCAUCGGUAAAAUCGGAGGCGCCCUGCUGCUUCAACAGGAGAGGUUACCUCCUACAUAUAAACAACUCAACGUCUUGGGUUGUCUUUCUCUUCCGGCAAUGCAGACACCGAUGUUGUAGUAGAAAAUUGCUUGGAACGCUGAACUACCAGAUUCCAUAGAAAAAAUGUAGUCCAUCUGUAACGAAAUAUAAAAGUAUUUGUAUAUUUCUUUACGGAGGAAGAAAAGUGACCUAAACACUUCUAUUUUUCUUUACAGAGGAAGUAACGAAGAAUUGCACAUCAACUUCAAGAAAAUUUAGGGUUCCUUUGCCUCUCGCCGACACCCUCGCCGGCCCGCCUCGUCUCCGGUGGCUUUAGGACCAUGGCAGCGCGGUGGAUCCCGGCCCUUACUGGCGUGAGGGCUCCGUUUUUAAUUGUUUCUUCAACUUUUGUUAGGGUUUGUGUCCUGCUCAGGAAGACGAGACGGUGGCGGCUCCCUGAAGAUGGAAUAAGGUUCUCCCCGCCUAGCCCCCGUUCCGGUGGUGUGUCUAGCAUCGUCGGUGGGCGUGUGGAGAUGUGUCUUCGGCGGAUCUAUCGUUUGUGGAUUUGCUCGGAUCUGGUCGUAAUUCGUCUACGUUUGUAUUUUUUCAGAUUGGAUCCCUCCGAUCUACGCUACUCUUUAUCGGCGGCGGUUGUUAUUCUGUUGCGCUGGUUCUAUGGGACAUUAGCACUGUUGAAAUAUAUUGCCCACCUUCCUCCAUCAGUUUAGACUUUUGAAUGAGUUGGCUGGUGCAUGAAUUCAAUAUGGUAUCAGAGCCAAGAGGUCUUGAGUUCCCCACCUCACUCCAUUAGUUCAGACUUUUGGAUGAGUUAACUGAUGCAUGAAUUCAAUAAGCACGACGACUUCCCGACUGUCUACUACAAGUUUUGCCCGGCUCCGGCGGGGGAGGAGCGAUGACGGUGGCGCCCUUCGGCUCGCUUUAGUGCUUGUAGUCGUCGCUAUGUGAUCUAUGGACAUGGGUGUAAUUUUUAUUAUUUUUGAUGUUCAUUGUAUUGCCAUGAUUGAAGAUGAAUAGAUUGAAAGUUUUCUAAAAAGAAAAACUUCAGUAUGUAACAUCUACAUGUAUCUCACCAAAAAAAACAUGUAUGCCAUAUUUAUUUUGAAUGAAGAUACAUAGUAUAAAUGGAACUCUAUUUUUCUUGUGGGUAAAGUCUCUAUUUUUUGGCAGAGGUAAUAUCUCUUUUUGGAAAGAGAGAACACUAAAUCCGUGAAGAAUAUUUUCUAUUUUAUUUUAACUUUCUACUACUCUCCUUCAUUUGACACUACAACAGGGUUCCAGACAGUUCAGACUCCCUACUGCUCGUCUUCAUUUGAGACCGUUGGAGGCCGUUUUUGUCUGGACAAGUAGAUAAAGAAAAUACUUUCUUUAAAGUUGAAUCAGUGACAAGUAAUAUGAACCCGAGGGAGUACCUUAUUGGGUUCAAUCUACUUGAGGGCACAUAUCUGCCACGUGGGAUCCGAGUGGCAAAUAUAAUUCGGCAGCCAAUAAUUUUAUCACAGUGAAAAAUGUGCAUGUUUCUCAUACAGUUAUAUGAACAGCUCUGUUAUUAUGGAUAUCUUCCGCCAGACAGCUGCUAGGUUGUAGCUUGCUCCUUGCUAGACGAGGGGCUAACUUAGCUGCUCACUUGAGAUUACAACUACACCUAUCUGCUUAGCCCGCAAAAAAAACACCUAUCUUCUCUACUGCUUAUAAACGCACGAAUUUGAUGAAUUCAAAUGUUCUGUGCCAUCCAACCAUCUACUCCCUCCGUUCCAAAUUACUCAUCGCAGAAAUUGAUGUAUUUAGAACUAAAAUACAUCUAGAUACAUCCAUACUGUUGACAUCAGUUUUUGGCACGGUCAAAAAUUUAUUUAAGAAGACCUCAAAUGAAGAAGUGAUCUACAUGAAAGAAUUACGUAUUAUUAAUAUGAAUAUCUUUGAAGUUUGGGUCAUCGCCGUCCGAUUUCAUCUCGAAGGCCGAAACUAUGUUCAAAGUAUUAAGAUCUUAUAUUCAGAGUACAGUUUGACCGAUUAAGCCUCCAAGACGACCUCAAAUGGAAAAAUGAUCUACACCGGUUGUCUUUGUCUCGUCGAAACGAUCGAUUUUUAUAUAAAAAUCGUCCAAAUCCAAAUUCAUAUGCAAAAGUUAAAGCAAUUGGAGUGCAGCUCUGUCACGAGGCGAGAUGUGGCGCGCCCCACCAGACACAUGUCUGAUGGGUAGCGCGAGGGAAUAGCCUGUUUUGCGCGACCGAUUUGACCCUCAAGAUGACCUCUGAUAAAAAAACCCUUGAACAUGAAAGUUGUUCGUCUCGUCGAAACGGUCAAGAUUUUAGGCUCGUUUUCAUCUGAGAUCGUUUACCACCACAAAAAAUACCCGCAAGGUGCAGCCAGUUUAAACCGAACAGUUUUGGAAAGUUCGGAUAAAACCAAUCCGAAUUUGACUAGGGUUUUGGACGUGAAUCCAAGCCUUUUCCUUGCACGGGAAGUCCAGCCGCCUCUUAUAUAUCUAAGGGGUGACGGUCGAUUGAACAACACACAAUCGAUCAAUUCAUCUACCACUUUUUAUCUUUUAUAUUUUCUCCUUAACCCUAGUUCUUCUUCUUCCUCGUUCUUCGCCUGUUCUUCUUGUUGCAGGGUGGUGAAUCUCGAGGCCCUAGGGGUGAUCAGGUCGACCUAGGGCAGCCCAUAGCCGCCGCGCGCCCUGACGGGGUCCCUCCCGGGCGCGUGGGGUUUCGGGUCAUCAAAAGCGCCCGCCGGAUUGUCUGCGUACCGCGCUUCCGGACGGGUCUCCUUCGACGUGAGCUGCGGUGCAUCACCCCCAGCGUCGAGGGUACACGGUGACAUGUUCGUGUGCGAACACACUUUUUGGCGACUCCGUUGGGGACGAAGAUUUGAACGGUCUCCGGCCCGUUCUUGCUACGAAGAGAUCGUCAUCUAGGGUUUGACAUCUACGAAGGUAAUAUGAAUACCCAAUUCACUUAUGUAGAUGCAAAUAAUGCAUAUGUUGUUGGUAGAUCAUCUAAUGAGCAUAAUGUAUCGGCUAGCCCUAGUUUUAUCAAUCAUGUAUCUAAUUAUGUGCAACGGUUCAGAAUAAUCUUCAUGCUUCAACUUCAUAGAAUUUUAGCAACAUGCAACAUAUGUAUCCCAACUCCCAUGCAUCGGCAACCCCACAAAUUUAUAUGCUGAUGAAUAACAUGAUGAGUUCGGUUAAUCAAGUUGAGACACCCUAUGUAGGAACUUCCAAUGGUAUGCAACAAAGUGUUUCAAGUUUUAUUCAUCGGCAAAUAACUUGUAGUAUGUUAAUCCAAACAUGCCGGUGGAUCGGGGAAUUGGCCAUGUUACUACUAGUUAUUUGGCCAAUUAGCCUCAAUCAUCAUAUGAUACACCUCAUGUUAGUAAUUUUUCAGCACCGCAUGCAACUGUAGAUGUUCAUAAUUCGGCCCCACAUCUUCAUGGUCAUAGCCGAGUAAGUGAAAAUUUUACAGGAACACAUGUGCCGUCAUCAAAUACUGUAGCAUAUAAUGCAUACUCUACGCAAUUUGAGAAUUUCGGCAACACUCGCGAAUCAUUACCGAAAGAAUCUGAAAGUAUUGUGGAGCAAUCUCUUCCGGAAGCGGCUGUGGCUGCAUUAAAAAAGAGAUUGGCACAAAACAAGAGGAUUAGUGCUCUUUGCCUUGAACAAUAUGAAAAGGGGUUGUUUCGUGAUUAUGCUGCAAUAAAGGCUAGAGUUUUGCAAGAAGAUGAAACUUCAUCAAUCGAUAGAAUUGGCGAGAGAGCAUAUCGUUAUACAGAAGUGUAUACACCUCCACCUAGUACCGCAACAUAUUAUACACCCCCUACAAAGUUGCAAAAUUUUGGCAACACUAAUAGUUCAUUGCCGAAAGAUCCUAAAAGCAUUGGGGGGCAAACUACACUAGAGCGGGCUGAAAUUGAGAGGGGAGUUAAAGCUUUGCGCGAUAGGGUGCAAGUACUUCGCCAAGAGAGAAUUGAUAGGGAAUUAGCUCAAAGAAAAUAAGCCUUGCCAAUUGAUAUAACCGGUGAAAAGAAUGAUGAUUCAGAAACUAAAAGUGCUUCGGUUGAAAAAGCCGAAUCAAGUUAUAUAUAUUCCGAAUCCAUCAAUUCGAAAGAGGAAAACAUUAUUGAGAAAGGGCAUAGAAAGUAUAGCAAGACAACCAUACUUGAUUUUUCUGAAGUUAAUGGAACCUACUUCCUGCUUUAUGAAUUCCGUGCCGUAGAAAUUGAGAAGCCUCAAGGACAAGAGCAAGUAGCCAAACAAGGUUCGGCUGAUAAGGAUCUUCAAGGUAAUGAUGCACGAAAUAAAGAAAAAGAAGAUGAAAAGGCGUUGGAGAGUCAUCCAAAGAUGAAGCUAGAUAUUGUUCAAGUCACACCACCAUCAUGCUCUCCCAGCGUAUUUGAAGAGGUAUGCAUAGCGAGUAAUUUACCUAUUUUCAGAUUUGGUCGCGACUUCAUUAUUGAUCCAUCUAUAAGAAAUAUUCUCAUAAGUAAUUUUGAAAGACCAAUGAAGAAGGGUAAUUUACUUGUUAGCAAUAAAGUUGUUAUGGAACAUAUCGGUCAACCCAUUGCACCAUUUAUAAAGACCGAUAAUGACUUAUUGUUACAGCCAAAGCUUUCCCCGUUGCUUUGUCUAAAGUUCAUAUCUAGUUGGGUAGCUUUGCUUAUUUCGUACUUGGCUUCCACUUGGUCUCAACUGAGACAUGUAUGUUCUAAAUAUCUUUGUGUCAGAAAUUUAAAGCCAAGGUUAAAUUCUAUUGAGAAAACCGAUGCAAAUAUAAUAUCUUAUCCAAAGACAUCGGAUAUAGAGUGGAAAACACAAUGCAUAGCCGAAUGGGGAGAUUCCAAAUCUGAACCAUUCGUUUCCUUAUCUCCAAAGCCGUUCACACAGUAAGAUCGGCUAGAAAACAAGAAGUAUACCUUCAAUUCAAGCAUGUGGGUUUAAAUAUUUGAUUUGUUGCUGAAAAAUAAUUACAUUACAAUUCUUGCUCACCAUGUUAAGCCAUCAAUCCAAGGACGAAUGUAUUGUAAGUUGCAUGAUUCAUUCAAGCAUAAUUUUGAGGAUUGCAACAUGUUUCGUCAAAUAGUUAAAUCAGCCAUUGAAAAAGGACGAUUGAAGUUUGUUGAGACACCAAGAGAUGACCGGUCUAUUCCGAUUUGUCCCGAUGGCAAAAAGUUUUUGCAUCGGCUGCUUCAAGCUGAUCCAUUUAAAGAGAAGGUAAAAACUACAGGUGAUGGGAUCAAGUUUUCAAGUAAAGAAGUUGUUGAAGAGCAUAAUAAACAUAAUCUUAAGGGCGAGAAUUCCAUCGAAGCUACAAUGGAGACGCCAAGGACUGGGGGCAGCAAGCAAAUCCAAUGAUCGAUGAAAGCAAACCAAAAGAAAACAAAGGCUGAAAUAAGCGCAAGUGUAAAAGAUCAAAAAUCACCUUUGCUGAACUAUUGGAGAAAUAUCAAAAUAAGAGUGAAGAGAAGAAUGCAUAUCGGCCCAAUCAUGCAAAGAAACCAAGAUCACCCCCAAGGCACAAAUAUGAGGAUCGGUAUUGGCAAAGUGAGAAUUUUAAUGCAACAUAUUCAUAUCCUUAUUUUGGGCCGCCAAUGCCAAUGCUGUGGGUGCCUCCCUAUGCUCAUGAAGAUCCAUAUCCAUCAUGGGACAUGUAUGAUACAAGGGCACAUUCUCUAUCUUAUUUUAGACCAUCUCACCAAUAUUAUGCAGUUCCGAGAAGAUCAACAUUUGAACAAUCACAUGUUAGAGACCGCUUCAAUCAUAAGGAAUCGGUCCAGAGCUCAAGGAAGAAGAAAGAGGUGGUCAAGGAAGUUUACCAUGUUAAAAGAGAUGGUCGUAAGAGUGCAACUUCAGAUUUGAUUGCUGGGGAACGUAGUAAUUUCAAAAAAAAUCCUACGCACACGCAAGAUCAUGGUGAUGCAUAGCAACGAGAGGGGAGAGUGUUGUCCAUGUACCCUCGUAGACUGAAAGCGGAAGCGUUAGCACAACGCGGUUGAUGUAGUCGUAUGUCUUCACGGCCCGACCGAUCAAGCACCGAAACUACGUCACCUCCGAGUUCUAGCACACGUUCAGCUCAAUGACGAUCCCCGGACUCCGAUCCAGCAGAAUGUCGGGGAAGAGUUUCAUCAGCACGACGGUGUGGUGACGAUCUUGAUUUUCUACUGUCGCAGGGCUUCGCCUAAGCACCACUACAAUAUUAUCGAGGACUAUGGUGGAGGGGGGCACCGCACACGGCUAAGAGAUCAAUGAUCAACUGUUGUGUCUCUGGGGUGCCCCCCUGCCCCCGUAUAUAAAGGAGCAAGGUAGGGAGGCGGCCGACCUAGGAGGAGGGCGCGCCAAGGGGGGAGUCCUACUCCCACCGGGAGUAGGACUCCUCCUUCCCUUGUUGGAGUAGGAGAGAAGGAAAGAGGGGGAGAGGAACAAGGAAAAGUGGGUUGCACCCCUUGUCCAAUUCGGACCAGAGGGGGGGGGCCUCCUUCCUUUUGGCCUCUCUCCUCUAUUCUCGUAUGGCCCAAUAAGGCCCAUAUACUCCCGGCGAAUUCCCGUAACUCUCCGGUAUUCCGAAAAAUACCUGAAUCACUCGGAACCUUUCCGAUGUCCGAAUAUAGUCGUCCAAUAUAUCGAUCUUCACGUCUCGACCAUUUCGAGACUCCUCGUCAUGCCCCUGAUCUCAUCCGGGACUCCAAACUCCUUCGGUACAUCAAAACUCAUAAUAUAACUGUCAUCCAAACCUUAAGCGUGCGGACCCUACGGGUUCGAGAACUAUGUAGACAUGACCGAGACACGUCUCCGGUCAAUAAACAAUAGCGGAACCUGGAUGCUCAUAUUGGCUCCCACAUAUUCUACGAAGAUCUUUAUCGGUCAGACCGCAUAACAACAUACGUUGUUCCCUUUGUCAUCGGUAUGUUACUUGCCCGAGAUUCGGUCGUCGGUAUCUCAAUACCUAGUUCAAUCUCGUUACCGGCAAGUCUCUUUUACUCGUUCCGUAAUACAUCAUCCUGCAACUAACUUAUUAGUUACAAUGCUUGCAAGGCUUAAGUGAUGUGCAUUACCGAGAGGGCCCAGAGAUACCUCUUCGACAAUCGGAGUGACAAAUCCUAAUCUCAAAAUACGCCAACCCAACAAGUACCUUCGGAGACACCUGUAGAGCACCUUUAUAAUCACCCAAUUACGUUGUGACGUUUGGUAGCACACAAAGUGUUCCUCUGGUAAACGGGAGUUGCAUAAUCUCAUAGUCAUAGGAACAUGUAUAAGUUAUGAAGAAAGCAAUAGCAACAAACUAAACGAUCAAAUGCUAAGCUAAUGGAAUGGGUCAAGUCAAUCACAUCAUUCUCCUAAUGAUGUGAUCCCGUUGAUCAAAUGACAACUCAUGUCUAUGGCUAGGAAACAUAACCAUCUUCGAUCAACGAGCUAGUCAAGUAGAGGCAUACUAGUGACACUCUGUUUGUCUAUGUAUUCACACAUGUAUUAUGUUUCCGGUUAAUACAAUUCUAGCAUGAAUAAUAAAGAUUUAUCAUGAAAUAAGGAAAUAAAUAAUAACUUUAUUAUUGCCUCUAGGGCAUAUUUCCUUCAGUCUCCCACUUGCACUAGAGUCAAUAAUGUAGUUCACAUCGCCAUGUGAUUUAACAUCAAUAGUUCACAUCACCAUGUGAUUAACACCCAUAGUUCACAUCGUCAUUUGAACAACACCCAAAGGGUUUACUAGAUUCAAUAAUCUAGCUAGUUCACAUCGCUAUGUGAUUAACGCCCAAAGAGUACUAGGGUGUGAUCAUGUUUUGCUUGUGAGAGAAGUUUAGUUAACGGGUCUGCCACAUUCAGAUUCGUAAGUAUUUUGCAAAUUUCUAUGUCAACAAUGCUCUGCACUAAGCUACUCUAGCUAAUUGCUCCCACUUUCAAUAUGUAUCCAGAUUGAGACUUUGAGUCAUCUGGAUCAGUGUCAAAACUUGCAUCGACGUAACCCUUUACAAUGAACCUUUUGUCACCUCCAUAAUCGAGAAACAUAUCCUUAUUCCACUAAGGAUAAUUUUGACCAAUGUCCAGUGAUCUACUCCUAGAUCACUAUUGUACUCCCUUGCCAAACUCAGGGCAGGGUAUACAAUAGGUCUGGUACACAGCAUGGCAUACUUUAUAGAACCUAUGGCUGAGGCAUAGGGAAUGACUUUCAUUCUCUCUCUAUCUUCUGUCGUGGUCGGGUUUUGAGUCUUACUCAAUUUCACACCUUGUAACACAGGCAAGAACUCCUUCUUUGACUGUUCCAUUUUGAACUACUUCAAAAUCUUGUCAAGGUAUGUACUCAUUGAAAAACUUAUCAAGCGUCUUGAUCUAUCUCUAUAGAUCUUGAUGCUCAAUAUGUAAGCAGUUUCACCAAGGUCUUUCUUUGAAAAACUCCUUUCAAACAUUCCUUUAUGCUUUGCAGAAUAAUUCUACAUUAUCUCCGAUCAACAAUAUGUCAUUCACAUAUAUUUAUCAGAAAUGUUGUAGUGCUCCCACUCACUUUCUUGUAAAUACAGGCUUCACCGCAAAUCUGUAUAAAACUAUAUGCUUUGAUCAACUUAUCAAAGCGUAUAUUCCAACUCCGAGAUGCUUGCACCAGUCCAUAGAUGGAUCGCUGGAGCUUGCAUGUUUUGUUAGCACCUUUAGGAUUGACAAAACCUUAUGGUUGCAUCAUAUACAACUCUUCUUUAAUAAAUCCAUUAAGGAAUGCAGUUUUGUUUAUCCAUUUGCCAGAUUUCAUAAAAUGCAGCAAUUGUUAACAUGAUUCGGACAGACUUAAGCAUAGAUACGAGUGAGAAACUCUCAUUGUAGUCAACACCUUGAACUUGUCGAAAACCUUUUGCGACAAUUCUAGCUUUGUAGAUAGUAACACUAAUAUCACCGUCCAUCUUCCUCUUGAAGAUCCAUUUAUUUUUUUAUGGCUUGCUGAUCAUCGAGCAAGUCAACCAAAGUCCACACUUUGUUCUCAUACAUGGAUCCCAUCUCAGAUUUUAUGGCCUCAAGCCAUUUUGCAGAAUCUGGGCUCAUCAUCGCUUCCUCAUAGUUCAUAGGCUCAUCAUGGUCAAGUAACAUGACCUCCAGAACAGGAUUACCGUACCACUCUGGUGCGAAUCUCACUCUGGUUUACCUACAAGGUUCGGUAGUAACUUGAUCUGAAGUUUACAUGAUCAUCAUCAUUAGCUUCCUCACUAAUUAGUGUAGUAGUCACAGGAACAGAUUUCUGUGAUGAACUACUUUCCAAUAAGGAAGCAGGUACAGUUACCUCAUCAAGUUCUACUUUCCUCCCACUCACUUCUUUCGAGAGGAACUCCUUCUCUAGAAAGGAUCCAUUCUCAGCAAUGAAUAUCUUGCCUUCGGAUCUGUGAUAGAAGGUGUACCCAACAUUUUCUAUUGGGUAUCCUAUGAAGAUGCACUACUCCGAUUUGGGUUUGAGCUUAUCAGGUUGAAACUUUUUCACAUAAGCAUUGCAACCUCAAACUUUAAGAAACGACAGCUUAGGUUUCUUGCCAAACCAUAGUUCAUACGGUGUCGUCUCAAUGGAUUUAGAUGGUGCCCUAUUUAAUGUGAAUGUAGUUGUCUCUAAUGCACAACCCCAAAACGAUAGUGGUAAAUCGGUAAGAGACAUCAUAGAUCGCACCAUAUCUAAUAAAGUACGGUUACGAUGUUCGAACACACCAUUAUACUGUAAUGGUGUUCCAGGUGGCGUGAGUAGUGAAACUUUUUCACAUUGUUUUAACUGAAGGCCAAACUCGUAACUCAAAUAUUUUACUUCUGCGAUCAUAUCGUAGAUACUUUUAUUUUUGUUACGAUGAUUCUCCACUUCACUAUGAAAUUCUUUGAACUUUUCAAAUGUUUCAAAUUUGUGUUUCAUCAAGUAGAUAUACUCAUAUCUGCUCAAAUCAUCUGUGAAGAUCAGAAAAUAAUGAUGUUGGGGAACGUAGCAGAAAUUCAAAAAAUUUCCUACGUAAGACCAAGAUCUAUCUAUGGAGAGACCAGCAACGAGUAGAAAGGGGAGUGCAUCUACAUACCCUUGUAGAUCGCUAAGCGGAAGCGUUCAAGUGAACGGGGUUGAUGGAGUCAUACUCGUCGUGAUUCAGAUCACCGAUGAUCAAGUGCCGAACGGACGGCACCUCCGCGUUCAACACACGUACAGCCCGGUGACGUCUCCCACGCCUUGAUCCAGCAAGGAGAGAGGGAGAGGUUGAGGAAGAAUCCAUCCAACAGCAGCACAACGGCGUGGUGGUGGUGGAGGAGCGUGGCAAUCCAGCAGGGCUUCGCUAAGCACCAUGGGAGACGAGGAGGAGGGAGAGGGGCAGGGCUGCACCAACGAGAGAUCAAAUCGCGUGUUAUGGGCAGCCCCUAGGCCUCAUAUAUAUAAGGGAAGGGGAGGGCUGCGCCCCCUUUGGGUUUCCCACCCCAAGGGGCGGCGGCCAGCCUCCAGAUGGCAUCUGGUGCGGCGGCCAAGAGGGGGGGGAGGAGUCCAUCCUCCCCAAGGCACCUCGGAGGUGCCUUCCCCCUUGAGGACUCUUCCCUCUAGGGUUCCCUAGGCGCAUGGGCCUCUUGGGGCUGGUGCCCUUGGCCCAUGUAGGCCAAGGCGCACCCCCUACAGCCCAUGUGCCCCCCCCCGGGGCAGGUGGCCCCACCCGGUGGGCCCCCGGGACCCUUCCGGUGGUCCCGGUACAAUACCGAUGACCCCGAAACUUGUCUCGAUGGCCGAAACAGGACUUCCUAUAUAUAAAUCUUUACCUCCGGACCAUUCCGGAACUCCUCGUGACAUCCGGGAUCUCAUCCGGGACUCCGAACAACAUUCGGUAACCACAUACAAGCUUCCUUUAUAACCCUAGCGUCAUCGAACCUUAAGUGUGUAGACCCUACGGGUUCGGGAGACAUGCAGACAUGACCGAGACGUUCUCCAGUCAAUAACCAACAGCAGGAUCUGGAUACCCAUGUUGGCUCCCACAUGUUCCACGAUGAUCUCAUCGGAUGAACCACGAUGUCAAGGACUCAAUCGAUCCCGUAUUCAAUUCCCUUUGUCUAGCGGUAUUUUACUUGCCCGAGAUUCGAUCGUCGGUAUACCAAUACCUUGUUCAAUCUCGUUACCGGCAAGUCACUUUACUCGUUCCGUAACACAUCAUCCCAUGAUCAACUCCUUGGUCACAUUGCGCAUAUGAUGAUGUCCUACCGAGUGGGCCCAGAGAUACCUCUCCGUUUACACGGAGUGACAAAUCCCAGUCUCGAUCCGCAUAAAACAAUAGAUACUUUCGGAGAUACCCGUAGUGCACCUUUAUAGUCACCCAGUUACGUUGUGACGUUUGAUACACCCAAAGCACUCCUACGGUAUCCAGGAGUUACACGAUCUCAUGGUCAAAGGAAGAGAUACUUGACAUUGGCAAAGCUCUAGCAAAUGAACUACACGAUCUUUUGUGCUAGUCUUAGGAUUGGGUCUUGUCCAUCACAUCAUUCUCCUAAUGAUGUGAUCCCGUUAUCAACGACAUCCAAUGUCCAUAGCCAGGAAACCAUGACUAUCUGUUGAUCACAACGAGCUAGUCAACUAGAGGCUCACUAGGGACAUAUUGUGGUCUAUGUAUUCACACGUGUAUUACGAUUUCCGGAUAAUACAGUUAUAGCAUGAAUAAAAGACAAUUAUCAUGAACAAGGAAAUAUAAUAAUAACUUAUUUAUUAUUGCCUCUAGGGCAUAUUUCCAACAGUCUCCCACUUGCACUAGAGUCAAUAAUCUAGUUCACAUCGCCAUGUGAUUAACACUCACAGGUCACAUCGCCAUGUGACUAAUACCCAAGAGUUUACUAGAGUCAGUAGUCUAGUUCACAUCAUUAUGUGAUUAACACUCAAUGAGUUUUAUGUUUGAUCAUGUUGCUUGUGAGAGAGGUUUUAGUCAACGGGUCUGAACCUUUCAGAUCCGUGUGUGCUUUACAAAUCUCUAUGUCAUCUCCUACAUGCAGCUACCACGCUCUAUUUGGAGCUAUUCCAAAUAACUGUUCUACUUGGAGCUAUUCUAAAUUAUUGCUCCAUUAUAUGUAUCCGGUCUCUCUACUCAGAGCUAUCCGGAUAGGUGUCAAGCUUGCAUCGACGUAACCUUUACGACGAACUCUUUUACCACCUCCAUAAUCGAGAAAAUUCCUUAGUCCACUAGUUACUAAGGAUAACUUUGACCGCUGUCUGUGAUCCAUUCUUGGAUCACUCUUGUACCCCUUGACUAACUCAUGGCAAGGCACACUUCAGGUGCGGUACACAACAUAGCAUACUAAAGAGCCUACAUCUUAAGCAUAGGGGACGACCUACGUCCUUUCUCUCUAUUCUGCCGUGGUCGAACUUUAAGUCUUAACUUCAUACCUUACAACUCAGGCAAGAACUCCUUCUUUGACUGGUCCAUCUUAAAUACCUUCAAGAUCAUGUCAAGGUAUGUGCUCAUUUGAAAGUAUUAUUAAGCAUUUUGAUCUAUCCUUAUAGAUCUUGAUGCUCAAUGUUCAAGUAGCUUAAUCCAGGCUUUCCAUUGAAAAACACUUUCAAAAUAACCCUAUAUGCUUUCUAGAAAUUCUACAUCAUUUCUGAUCAACAAUAUGUCAACAACAUAUACUCAUCAGAAAUUCUAUAGUGCUCCCACUCACUUCUUUGGAAAUACAAGUUUCUCAUAAACUUUGUACAAACCCAAAAUCUUUGAUCAUCAUCAAAGCAUACAUUCCAACUCCGAGAUGCUCACUCCAGUCCUUAGAAGGAUCGCUGGAGCUAGCAUACCUUUUAGCAUCCUUAGGAUCGACAAAAACUUUCUGAUUGUAUUACAUACAACCUUUCCUCACGAAAACUGGUAAGGAAACUCGUUUUGACAUCCGUCUGCCAGAUUUCAUAAAUUCAGCUAAUGCUAACAUGAUUCCGACGGACUUAAGCAUCGCUACGGAUGAGAAGAUCUCAUCGUAGUCAACUCCUUGAACUUGUGAAAAAACUCUUCGCCACAAGUCGAGCUUCAUAGACGGUGACAUUACCGUCCACGUCCGUCUUCUUCUUAAAGGAUCCAUUUAUCUCAAUGGAUUGCCGAUCAUCGGGCAAGUCCAUCAAAGUCCAUGCUUUGUUCUGAUAUAUGGAUACUAUCUCGGAUUUCAUGGCUUCUAACCAUUUGUCGGAAUUCGGGCCCACCAUCGCUUCUCCAUAGCUCGUAGGUUCAUUGUUGUCUAGCAACAUGACCUUCAAGACAGGGUCACCUUACCACUCCGAAGUAGUACGUGUCCUUGUCGUCCUACGAGGUUUGGUAGUGACUUGAUCCGAAGUUUCACGAUCAAUAUCAUAAGCUUCCACUUCAAUUGGUGUAGGUGCCACAGGAACAACUUCCUGUGCCCUGCCACACACUAGUUGAAGAGACGGUUCAAUAACCUCAUCAAGUCUCCACCAUCCUCCCACUCAACUCUUUCGAGAGAAACCCUUCCUCGAGAAAGGACCCGAUUCAAGAAACAAUCAAUAUUGCUUUCGGAUCUGAAUUAGGAGGUAUACCCAACUGUUUUGGUUUUCCUAUGAAGAUGCAUUUUAUCCGCUUUGGGUUCGAGCUUAUCAACCUGAAACUUUUUCAUAUAAGCGUCGCAGCCCCAAACUUUUAAGAAACGACAACUUAGGUUUCUCUAAACCAUAAUUCAUACGGUGUCAUCUCAUCGGAAUUACGUGGUGCCCUAUUUAAAGUGAAUGUGGUUGUCUCUAAUGCCUAACCCAUGAACGAUAGUGGUAAUUCGAUAAGAGACAUCAUGGUACGCACCAUAUCCAAUAGGGUGCAACUAUGAUGUUCGGACACACCAUCACACUAUGGUGUUCCAGGCGGUAUUAAUUGCGAAACAAUUUCCACAAUGUCUUAAUUGUGUGCCAAAACUCGUAACUCAGAUAUUCAUCUCUAUGAUCAUAUCAUAGACAUUUUAUCCUCUUGUCACAAUGAUCUGCUACUUCACUCUGAAAUUACUUGAACCAUUCAAUAAUUAAGACUUGUGUUUCAUCAAGUAAAUAUUCUCAACAUCUACUCGAAUCAUCUGUGAAGUAAGAUCAUAGCGAUAUUCACUGUAUGCCUCAGCACUCAUUGGAUUGGACAUAUCAAAAAUGUGUUACUUCCAACAAGUUGCUAUCUUGUUCCAUCUUACUGAAAACGAGGCUUUUCAGUCAUCUUGUCCAUGUGGUAUGAUUUGCAUAUCUCAAGUGAUUCAAAAUCAAGUGAGUCCAAACAAUCCAUUUGCAUGGAGUUUCUUCAUGCAUAUAUACCAAUAGACAUGGUUCGCAUGUCUCAAACUUUUCAAAAAAUGAGUGAGUCCAAAGAUCCAUCAACAUGGAGCUUCUUCAUGCGUUUUAUACCAUUAUGACUUACAUGGCAGUGCCACAAGUAAGUGGUACUAUCAUUACUAUCUUAUAUCUUUUGGCAUGAAAAUGUGUAUCACUACGAUCGAGAUUCAAUAAACCAUUCAGGUUUAAUACUAAUCUUGAUGGUAGAGGGAGCGUGCGAUGUUUGAUUAUAUCAAACUUGGAAACACUUCCAACACAUAUCGUCAGCUCUCCUUUAGCUAGUCUCCGUUUAUUCCGUAGCCUUUUAUUUCGAGUUACUAACACUUAGCAACUGAACCGGUAUCUAAUACCCUGGUGCUACUAGGAGUACUAGUAAAGUACACAUUAACAUAAUGUAUAUCCAAUAUACUUCUAUCGACCUUGCCAGCCUUCUCAUCUACCAAGUAUCUAGGGUAAUUCUGCUCUAGUGACUAUUCCCCUUAUCACAGAAGCACUUAGUCUCGGGUUUGGGUUCAAGCUCAGGUUUCUUCACUGGUGCAGCAGCUGAAUUGCCGUUUCAUGAAGUAUCCCUUCUUGCCCUUGCCCUUCUUGAAACUAGUGGUCUCACUGACCAUCAACGAUUGAUGCUCCUUCUUGAUUUCUACUUUCGCGGUGUCAAACAUCGCGAAUAUCUCAAGGAUCAUCAUAUAUGUCCCUGAUAUAUUAUAGUUCAUCACGAAGCUCUAGCAGCUUAGUGGUAAUGACUUCGGAGAAACUAUCACUAUUUCAUCUGGAAGAUCAACUCCCACUCGAUUCAAGUGAUUGUUGUGCUCAGACAAUCUGAGCACAAGCUCAACGAUUGAGCUUUUCUCCCUUAGUUUGCAGGCUAAGAAAAAAAACGUCGGAGGUCUUAUACCUCUUGACGUGGGCACGAGCCUGAAAUCCCAAUUUCAGCCCUCGAAACAUCUCAUAUGUUCCGCGAUGUUUCGAAAACGUCUUUGGUGCCUCUACUUAAACCAUUUAACUGAACUAUCACGUAGUUAUCAAAACGUGUAUGUUCGAUGUUCGAAACAUCCACAAACGACGUUUGGGGUUUAGCACACUAAGCGGUGCAUUAAGGACAUAAGCUAUCUACUGUCUGCAUAAUUGCUACUUUCAACUUUCAACCAUAUUUUCUCUAGGAACAUAUCUAAAACAGUAGAACUAUAGCGUGAACUACGACAUAAUUUGCAAAAGGUCUUUUGACUAUGUUCAGGAUAAUUAAGUUCAUCUUAUGAACUCCCACUUAGAUAGACAUCCCUCUGGUCAUCUAAGUGAUCACAUGAUCCGAGUCAACUAGGCCGUGUCCGAUCAUCACGUGAGACGGACUAGUCAUCAUCGGUGAACAUCUUCAUGUUGAUCGUAUCUACUAUACGACUCAUGCUCGACCUUUCGGUCUCCGUGUUCCGAGGCCAUGUCUGCACAUGCUAGGCUCGUCAAGUUAACCCUAAGUGUUUUCGCUGUGUAAAACUGUCUUACACCCGUUGUAUGUGAACGUAAGAAUCCAUCACACCCGAUCAUCACGUGGUGCUUAGAAGCGACGAACUGUAGCAACGGUGCACAGUUAGGGGAGAACACUUCUUGAAAUUGUUGUAAGGGAUCAUCUUAUUUACUACCGUCGUUCUAAGCAAAUAAGAUGUAUAAACAUGAUAAACAUCACAUGCAAUCAAAUAGUGACAUGAUAUGGCCAUCAUCACUUUGCUCCUUUUGAUCUCCAUCUUCGGGGCUCCAUGAUCAUCAUCGUCACCGGCAUGACACCAUGAUCUCCAUCAUCAUGAUCUCCAUCAUCGUGUCUUCAUGAAGUUGCCUCGCCAACUAUUACUUCUACUACUAUGGCUAACGGUUAGCAAUAAAGUAAAGUAAUUACAUGACGUUUAAGUUGACACGCAGGUCACAAAUAAAUAAAGACAACUCCUAUGGCUCCUGCCGGUUGUCAUACUCAUUGACAUGCAAGUCGUGAUUCCUAUUACAAGAACAUGAUCAAUCUCAUACAUCACAUAUAUCAUUCAUCACAUCCUUUUUGGCCAUAUCACAUCACAUAGCAUACCCUGCAAAAACAAGUUAGACGUCCUCUAAUUGUUGUUUGCAUGUUUUACGUGGCUGCUAUGGGUUUCUAGCAAGAACGUUUCUUACCUACGCAUGAACCACAACGUGAUAUGCCAAUUGCUAUUUACCCUUCAUAAGGACCCUUUUCAUCGAAUCCGAUCCGACUAAAGGGGGAGAGACAGACACCCGCCAGCUACCUUAUGCAACUAGUGCAUGUUUGUCGGUGGAACCGGUCUCACGUAAGCGUACGUGUAAGGUUGGUCCGGGCCGCUUCAUCCCACGAUGCCGCCGAAUCAAGAUAAGAUUAGUAACGGCAAGCAUAUUGAACAAUAUCGACGCCCACAACUACUUUGUGUUCUACUCGUGCAAAGAAUCUACGCAAUAGACCUAGCUCUGAUACCACUGUUGGGGAACGUAGCAGAAAUUCAAAAAAAUUUCCUACGUAACACCAAGAUCUAUCUAUGGAGAGACCAGCAACGAGUAGAAAGGAGAGUGCAUCUACAUACCCUUGUAGAUCGCUAAGCGGAAGCGUUCAAGUGAACGGGGUUGAUGGAGUCGUACUCGUCGUGAUUCAGAUCACCGAUGAUCCUAGUGCCGAAUGGACGGCACCUCCGCGUUCAACACACGUACAGCUCGACGAUGUCUCCCACGCCUUGAUCCAGCAAGGAGAGAGGGAGAGGUUGAGGAAGACUCCAUCCAGCAGCAGCACAACGGCGUGGUGGUGAUGGAGGAGCGUGGCAAUCCUGCAGGGCUUCGCCAAGCACCUACGGGAGAGGAGGAGGUGUCACGGGAGGGAGGGAGGCGCCAAGGGCUCAGGUAUGGAUGCCCUUAACUUCGUACCUUACAACUCAGGCAAGAACUCCUUUUUUGACUGAUCCAUCUUGAACACCUUCAAGAUCACGUCAAGGCAUGUGCUCAUUUGAAAGUACCAUUAAGCGUUUUGAUCUAUCCUUAUAGAUCUUGAUGCUCAAUGUUCAAGUAGCUUAAUCCAGGUUUUCCAUUGAAAACACUUUCCAAAUAACCCUAUAUGCUUUCCAGAAAUUCUACGUCAUUUCUGAUCAUUAAUAUGUCAACAACAUAUACUCAUCAGAAAUUCUAUAGUGCUCCCACUCACUUCUUUGGAAAUACAAGUUUCUCAUAAACUUUGUAUACACCCUAAAUCUUUGAUCAUCAUCAAAGCAUACAUUCCAACUCCGAGAUGCUCACUCCAGUCCUCAGAAGGAUUGCUGGAGCUUUGCAUACUUAUUAGCAUAUUUCAGGAUAGACAAAACCUUCCGGUUGUAUCACAUACAACCUUUCCUCAAGAAUCGUCGAGGAAACAAUGUUUUGACAUCCUAUCUGCAAGAUUUCAUAAAUAAUGCAGUAAUUGCUAAUAUAAUUCCAACAUACUCUUAGCAUCGCUACGAGUGAGAAAGUCUCAUCGUAGUCAACUCCUUGAACUUGUCGAAAAACAUCUCAACGACAAGUCGAGCUUUCUCAAUGGUGACACUUACCAUCAUUGUCUGUCUUCCUUUCAAAAUCCAUAUGUACCUAACAGCCUUACGACCAUCAAGUAGUUCUUCCAAAGUCUACACUUUGUUUUCAUACAUGGAUCCUCUCUCGGGUUUUAUGGCCUUGAGCCAUUUAUCGGAAUCCGGGCCCACCAUCGCUUCUCCAUAGCUCGUAGGUUCAUUGUUGUCUAGCAACAUGACUUCCAAGACAGGAUUACUGUACCACUCUGAAGUAGUACGUAUCCUUGUCACCCUACGAGUUUUGGGAGUGACUUGAUCUGAAGUUUCAUGAUCACUAUCAUAAGCUUCUACUUCAAUUGGUGUAGGUGCCACAGGAACAACUUCCUGUGCCCUGCUACACACUGGUUGAAGUGAUGGUUCAAUAACCUCAUCAAGUCUCCACCAUCCUCCCACUCAAUUCUUUCGAGAGAAACCUUUCCUCGAGAAAGGACCCAAUUCUAGAAACAAUUCAUAUUGCCUUCGGAUCUGAAUUAGGAGGUAUACCCAACUGUUUUGGGUGUCCUAUGAAGAUGUACUUUAUCCGCUUUGGGUUCGAGCUUAAUCCUGAAACUUUUUCACAUAAGCGUCGCAGCCCCAAACCUUUAAGAAACGACAACUUAGGUUUCUCUAAACCAUAAUUCAUACGGUGUCAUCUCAUCGGAAUUACGUGGUGCCCUAUUUAAAGUGAAUGUGGUUGUCUUUAAUGCCUAACCCAUAAACUAUCGUGGCAGUUCGAUACGAGACAUCACGGUAUGCAUCAUAUCCAAUAGGGUGCAACUAUGAUGUUCGGACACACCAUCACACUAUGGUGUUCCAGGCGGUAUUAAUUGUGAAACAAUUUCCACAAUGUCUUAAUUGUGUGCCAAAACUCGUAACUCAGAUACUCAUCUCUAUGAUCAUAUCAUAGACAUUUUAUCCUCUUGUCACAAUGAUCUUCUACUUCACUCUGAAAUUACUUGAACCAUUCAAUAAUUCAGACUUGUGUUUCAUCAAGUAAAUAUUCUCAACAUCUACUCGAAUCAUCUGUGAAGUAAGAACAUAACGAUAUUCACUGCAUGCCUCAGCACUCAUUGGACUGCACACAUCAAAAUGUGUUGCUUCCAACAAGUUGCUAUCUUGUUCCAUCUUACUGAAAACGACGCUUUUCAGUCAUCUUGCCCAUGUGGUAUGAUUUGCAUGUCCCAAGUGAUUCAAAAUCAAGUGAGUCAAAACGGUCCAUUUGCAUGGAGUUUCUUCAUGCAUAUACACCAAUAGACAUGGUUCGCAUGUCUCAAACUUUUCAAAAACGAGUGAGCCCAAAGAUCCAUCAAUAUGGAGCUUCUUCAUGCGUUUUAUACCGAUAUGACUUACGUGGCAGUGCCACAAGUAGGUGGUGCUAUCAUUACUAUCUUUUGGUAUGAACAUGUGUAUCACUACGAUCGAGAUUUAAUAAACCAUUCAUUUUAGGUGUAAGACCAUUGAAGGUAUUAUUCAAAUAAACAGAGUAACCAUUAUUCUCCUUAAAUGAAUAACCGUAUUGCGAUAGACGUAAUCCAAUCAUGUCUAUGCUCAACGCAAACACCAAAUAACAAUUAUUUAGGUUUAACACCAAUCUCUUUGGUAGAGGGAGCGUGCGAUGCUUGAUCAUAUCAAGCUUGGAAAAACUUCCAACACAUAUCGUCAGCUCACCUUUAGCUAGUCUCCGUUUAUUCCGUAGCCUUUAUUUCGAGUUACUAACACUUAGCAACCGAACCGGUAUCUAAUACCCUGGUGCUACUAGGAGUACUAGUAAAGUACACAUUAACAUAAUGUAUAUCCAAUAUACUUCUAUCGACUUUGCCAGCCUUCUCAUCUACCAAGUAUCUAGGGUAAUCCUGCUCCAGUGGUUGUUCCCCUUAUUACAGAAGCACUUAGUCUCGGGUUUGGGUUCAACCUCGGGUUUCUUCAUUGGUGCAGCAGCUGAUUUGCCGUUUCAUGAAGUAUCCCUUCUUUCCCUUGCCCUUCUUGAAACUAGUGGUUUCAUCAACCAUCAACAAUUGAUGCUCCUUCUUGAUUUCUACUUUCGCGAUGUCAAACAACGCGAAUACCUCAAGGAUCAUCAUCUCUAUCCUUGAUAUGUUAUAGUUCAUCACGAAGCUCUAGCAGCUUGGUGGCAAUGACUUUGGGGAAACAUCACUAUCUCAUCUGGAAGAUCAACUCCCACUCGAUUCAAGUGAUUGUUGCACUCAGACAAUCUGAGCACAAGCUCAACGAUUGAGCUUUUCUCCCUUAGUUUGCAGGCCAAGAAAAUCGUCGGAGGUCUUAUACCUCUUGACAUGGGCACGAGCUUGAAAUCCCAAUUUCAGCCCUCGAAACAUCUCAUAUGUUCCGCGAUGUUUAGAAAACGUCUUUGGUGCCUCUACUUAAACCAUUUAACUGAACUAUCACGUAGUUAUCAAAACGUGUAUGUUCGAUGUUCGAAACAUCCACAAACGACGUUUGGGGUUCAGCACACUGAGCAGUGCAUUAAGGACAUAAGCUUUCUACUGUUCGCAUAAUCGCUACUAUCAACUUUCAACUAUAUUUUCUCUAGGAACAUAUCUAAAACAGUAGAACUAAAGCGCGAGCUACGACAUAAUUUGCAAAAGGUCUUUUGACUAUGUUCAAGAUAAUUAAGUUCAUCUUAUGAACUCCCACUCAGAUAGACAUCCCUCUGGUCAUCUAAGUGAUCACAUGAUCCGAGUCAACUAGGCCGUGUCCGAUCAUCACGUGAGACGGACUAGUUAACGUCGGUGAACAUCUUCAUGUUGAUCGUAUCUACUAUACGACUCAUGCUCGACCUUUCGGUCUCCGUGUUCCGAGGCCAUGUCUGUACAUGCUAGGCUCGUCAAGUUAACCCUAAGUGUUUUUGCUGUGUAAAACUGUCUUACACCCGUUGUAUGUGAACGUAAGAAUCCAUCACACCCGAUCAUCACGUGGUGCUUAGAAGCGACGAACUGUAGCAACGGUGCACAGUUAGGGGAGAACACUUCUUGAAAUUGUUGUAAGGGAUCAUCUUAUUUACUACCGUCGUUCUAAGCAAACAAGAUGCAUAAACAUGAUAAACAUCACAUGCAAUCAAAUAGUGACAUGAUAUGGCCAAUAUCAUUUUGCUCCUUUUGAUCUUCAUCUUCGGGGCUCCAUGAUCAUCAUCGUCACCGGCAUGACACCAUGAUCUCCAUCAUCAUGAUCUCCAUCAUCGUGUCUUCAUGAAGUUGUCACGCCAACGACUACUUCUACUUCUAUGGCUAACGCGUUUAGCAAUAAAGUAAAGUAAUUUACAUGGCGUUCUUCAAUGACAUGCAGGUCAUACAAUAAAAAAAGACAACUCCUAUGGCUCCUGCCGGUUGUCAUACUCAUCGACAUGCAAGUCGUGAUUCCUAUUACAAGAACAUGAUCAAUCUCAUACAUCACAUAUAUCAUUCAUCACAUCCUUUUGGCCAUAUCACAUCACAAAGCAUACCCUGCAAAAACAAGUUAGACGUCCUCUAAUUGUUGUUUGCAUGUUUUACGUGGCUGCUAUGGGUUUCUAGCAAGAACGUUUCUUACCUACGCAAAACCACAACGUGAUAUGUCAAUUGCUAUUUACCCUUCAUAAGGACCCUUUUCAUCGAAUCCGUUCCGACUAAAGUGGGAGAGACUGGCACCCGCUAGCCACCUUAUGCACCAAGUGCAUGUCAAUCGGUGGAACCUGUCUCACGUAAGAGUACGUGUAAGGUCGGUCCGGGCCGCUUCAUCCCACAAUACCGUCGAAACAAGAUUGGACUAGUAACGGUAAGCAUAUUGAACAACAUCAACGCCCACAACUACUUUGUGUUCUACUCGUGCAAAGAAUCUACGCAAUAGACCUAGCUCAUGAUGCCACUGUUGGGGAACGUAGCAGAAAUUCAAAAAAUUUCCUACGUAAGACCAAGAUCUAUCUAUGGAGAGACCAGCAACGAGUAGAAAGGGGAGUGCAUCUACAUACCCUUGUAGAUCGCUAAGCGGAAGCGCUCAAGUGAACGGGGUUGAUGGAGUCAUACUCGUCGUGAUUCAGAUCACCGAUGAUCAAGUGCCGAACGGACGGCACCUCCGCGUUCAACACGCGUACAGCCCGGUGACGUCUCCCACGCCUUGAUCCAGCAAGGAGAGAGGGAGAGGUUGAGGAAGACUCCAUCCAACAGCAGCACAACGGCGUGGUGGUGGUGGAGGAGCGUGGCAAUCCAGCAGGGCUUCGCUAAGCACCAUGGGAGAGGAGGAGGAGGGAGAGGGGCAGGGCUGCACCAACGAGAGAUCAAAUCGCGUGUUAUGGGCAGCCCCUAGGCCUCAUAUAUAUAAGGGAAGGGGAGGGAUGCGCCCCCUUUAGGGUUUCCCACCCCAAGGGGCGGCGGCCAGCCUCCAGAUGGCAUCUGGUGCGGCGGCCAAGAGGGGGGGGGGAGGAGUCCAUCCUCCCCAAGGCACCUCGGAGGUGCCUUCCCCCUUGAGGACUCUUCCCUCUAGGGUUCCCUAGGUGCAUGGGCCUCUAGGGGCUGGUGCCCUUGGCCCAUGUAGGCCAAGGCGCACCCCCUACAGCCCAUGUGCCCCCCCGGGGCAGGUGGCCCCACCCGGUGGGCCCCCGGGACCCUUCCGGUGGUCCCGGUACAAUACCGAUGACCCCGAAACUUGUCUCGAUGGCCGAAACAGGACUUCCUAUAUAUAAAUCUUUACCUCCGGACCAUUCCGGAACUCCUCGUGACGUCCGGGAUCUCAUCCGGGACUCCGAACAACAUUCGGUAACCACAUACAAGCUUCCUUUAUAACCCUAGCGUCAUCGAACCUUAAGUGUGUAGACCCUACGGGUUCGGGAGACAUGCAGACAUGACCGAGACGUUCUCCAGUCAAUAACCAACAGCGGGAUCUGGAUACUCAUGUUGGCUCCCACAUGUUCCACGAUGAUCUCAUCGGAUGAACCACGAUGUCAAGGACUCAAUCGAUCCCGUAUUCAAUUCCCUUUGUCUAGCGGUAUUUUACUUGCCCGAGAUUCGAUCGUCGGUAUACCAAUACCUUGUUCAAUCUCGUUACCGGCAAGUCACUUUACUCGUUCCGUAACACAUCAUCCCGUGAUCAACUCCUUGGUCACAUUGCGCAUAUGAUGAUGUCCUACCGAGUGGGCCCAGAGAUACCUCUCCGUUUACACGGAGUGACAAAUCCCAGUCUCGAUCCGCAUAAAACAAUAGAUACUUUCGGAGAUACCCGUAGUGCACCUUUAUAGUCACCUAGUUACGUUGUGACGUUUGAUACACCCAAAGCACUCCUACGGUAUCCAGGAGUUACACGAUCUCAUGGUCAAAGGAAGAGAUACUUGACAUUGGCAAAGCUCUAGCAAAUGAACUACACGAUCUUUUGUGCUAGUCUUAGGAUUGGGUCUUGUCCAUCACAUCAUUCUCCUAAUGAUGUGAUCCCGUUAUCAACGACAUCCAAUGUCCAUAGCCAGGAAACCAUGACUAUCUGUUGAUCACAACGAGCUAGUCAACUAGAGGCUCACUAGGGACAUAUUGUGGUCUAUGUAUUCACACGUGUAUUACGAUUUCCGGAUAAUACAGUUAUAGCAUGAAUAAAAGACAAUUAUCAUGAACAAGGAAAUAUAAUAAUAACUUAUUUAUUAUUGCCUCUAGGGCAUAUUUCCAACAAAUGAUACCUGCCGCGAGCCUCAAUAUUCGUCGGACCACAUACAUCAGUAUGUAUGAUUUCCAACAAAUCUGUUGCUCGGUCCAUUGUUCCGGAGAACGAAGUCUUAGUCAUCUUGCCCAUGAGGCAUGGUUCACAAGCAUCAACUAAUUCAUAAUCAAGUGAUUCCAAAAGCCCAUCAGCAUGGAUUUUCGUCAUGCGCUUUACACCAAUAUAACCUAACCGGCAGUGCCACAAAUAAGUUGCACUAUCAUUAUUAACUUUGCAUCUUUUGGCUUCAAUAUUAUAAAAAUGUGUAUCACCACGAUCGAGAUCCAACAAACCAUUUUCAUUGGGUGUAUGACCAUAGAAGGUUUUAUUCAUGUAAACAGAACAACAAUUAUUCUCUAACUUACAUGAAUAACCGUAUUGCAAUAAACAUGAUCAAAUCAUAUUCAUGCUCAACGCAAACACCAAAUAACACGUAUUUAGGUUCAACACUAAUCCCGAAAGUAUAGGGAGUGUGCGAUGAUGAUCAUAUCAAUCUUGGAACUACUUCCAACACACAUCGUCACUUCACCCUUAACUAGUCUUUGUUCAUUCUGCAACUCCCAUUUCGAGUUACUACUCUUAGCAACUGAACCAGUAUCAAAUACCGAGGGGUUGCUACGAACACUAGUAAUAUACACAUCAAUAAUCUAUAUAUCAAAUAUACCUUUGUUCACUUUUCCAUCCUUCUUAUCCGCCAAUUACUUGGGGUAGUUCCGCUUCCAGUGACCAGUCCCUUUGCAGUAGAAGCACUCAGUUUCAGGCUUAGGUCCAGACUUGGGUUUUUUCACUUGAGCAGCAACUUGCUUGAUGUUCUUCUUGAAGUUCCCCUUUCUUCUAUUUGUCCCUUUACUUGAAACUAGUGAUUUUGUUUACCAUCAACACUUGAUGCUUUUCUUGAUUUCUACCUUCAUCGAUUUCAGCAUCACAAAGAGCUUGGGAAUCGUUUCCGUUAUCCCUUGCAUAUUAUAGUUCAUCACGAAGUUCUACUAACUUGGUGAUGGUGACUAGAGAAGUCUGUCAAUCACUAUUUUAUCUGGAAGAUUAACUCCCACUUUAUUCAAGCGAUUGUAGUACCUUGAAAAUUUGAGCACAUGCUCACUGCUUGAGCUAUUCUCCUCCAUCUUUUAGCUAUAGAACUUGUUGGAGACUUCAUAUCUCUCAACUCGGGUAUUUACUUGAAAUAUUAACUUCAACUCCUGGAAUAUCUCAUAUGGUCCAUGACGUUCAAAACGUCUUUGAAAUCCCGAUUCUAAGAUGUUAAGCAUGGUGCACUAAACUAUCAAGUAGUCAUCAUAUUGAGCUAGCCAAACGUUCAUAACGUCUGCAUCUGCUCCUGCAAUAGGUCAGUCACCUAGCGGUGAAUUAAAGACAUAAUUCUUCUGUGCAGCAAUGAGGAUAAACCUCAGAUCACGGACCCAGUCCGCAUCAUUGCUACUAUCAUCUUUCAACUUAGUUUUCUCUAGGAACACAUAUAAAACAUAGGGAAGCAAUAACGCGAGCUAUUGAUCUACAACAUAGAUAUGCAAAUACUAUCAGGACUAAGUUCAUGAUAAAUUAAAGUUCAAUUAAUCAUAUUACUUAAGAACUCCCACUUAGAAAGACAUCCCUCUAAUCUUCUAAGUGAUCACGUGAUCCAAAUCAACUAAACCAUAACCGAUCAUCACGUGAAAUGGAGUAGUUUUCAAUGGUGAACAUCACUAUGUUGAUCAUAUCUACUAUAUGAUUCACGCUUGACCUUUCGGUCUCAGUGUUCCGAGGCCAUAUCUGCAUAUGCUAGGCUCGUCAAGUUUAACCUGAGUAUUCUGCUUGUGCAAAACUGGCUUGCACCCGUUGUAGAUGGACGUAAAGCUUAUCACACCCGAUCAUCACAUGGUGUAUGGGCACGACAAACUUUGGCAACGGUGCAUACUCAGGGAGAACACUUUUAUCUUGAAAUUUAAUGAGAGAUCAUCUUAUAAUGCUACCAUCAAUCAAAGCAAGAUAAGAUGCAUAAAAGAUAAACAUCACAUGCAAUCAAUAUAAGUGAUAUGAUAUGACCAUCAUUAUCUUGUGCUUGUGAUCUCCAUCUCCGAAGCACCGUCAUGAUCACCAUCGUCACCGGCGCGACACCUUGAUCUCCAUCGUAGCAUCGUUGUCGUCUCGCCAAUCUUAUGCUUCCACGACUAUCGCUACCGCUUAGUGAUAAAGUAAAGCAUUACAACGCAAUUGCAUUGCAUACAAUAAAGCGACAACCAUAUGGCUCCUGUCAGUUGUCGAUAACUCAGUUACAAAACAUGAUCAUCUCAUACAAUAAAAUUUAGCAUCAUGUCUUGACCAUAUCACAUCACAACAUGCCCUGCAAAAACAAGUUAGACGUCCUCUACUUUGUUGUUGCAAGUUUUACGUGGCUGCUACGGGCUUAGCAAGAACCGUUCUUACCUACGCAUCAAAACCACAACGAUAGUUUGUCAAGUUGGUGUUGUUUUAACCUUCGCAAGGACCGGGCGUAGCCACACUCGGUUCAACUAAAGUUGGAGAAACUGACACCCGCCAGCCACCUGUGUGCAAAGCACGUCGGUAGAACCAGUCUCGCGUAAGCGUACGCGUAAUGUCGGUCCAGGCCGCUUCAUCCAACAAUACUGCUGAACCAAAGUAUGACAUGCUACUAAGCAGUAUGACUUAUAUCGCCUACAACUCACUUGUGUUCUACUCGUGCACAACAUCAACGCAUAAAACCUAGGCUCAGAUGCCACUGUUGGGGAACGUAGUAAUUUCAAAAAAAUUCCUACGCACACGCAAGAUCAUGGUGAUGCAUAGCAACGAGAGGGGAGAGUGUUGUCCACGUACCCUCGUAGACCGAAAGCGGAAGCGUUAGCACAACGCGGUUGAUGUAGUCGUACGUCUUCACGGCCCGACCGAUCAAGCAUCGAAACUACGGCACCUCCGAGUUCUAGCACACGCUCAGCUCGAUGACGAUCCCCGGACUCCGAUCCAGCAGAAUGUCGGGGAAGAGUUCCGUCAGCACGACGUUGUGGUGACGAUGUUGAUGUUCUACUGUCGCAGGGCUUCGCCUAAGCAUCACUACAAUAUUAUCGAGGACUAUGGUGGAGGGGGGCACCGCACACAGCUAAGAGAUCAAUGAUCAACUGUUGUGUCUCUGGGGUGCCCCCCUGCCCCCGUAUAUAAAGGAGCAAGGGAGGAAGGCGGCUGGCCUAGGAGGAGGGCGCGCCAAGGGGGGAGUCCUACUCCCACCGGGAGUAGGACUCCUCCUUCCCUUAUUGGAGUAGGAGAGAAGGAAAGAGGGGGAGAGGAACAAGGAAAAGUGGGCUGCACCCCUUCUCCAAUUCGGACCAGAGGGGGGGCGCGCGCCUCCUUCCUUUUGGCCUCUCUCCUCUAUUCCCGUAUGGCCCAAUAAGGCCCAUAUACUCCCCGACGAAUUCCCGUAACUCUCCGGUACUCCGAAAAAUACCCGAAUCACUCGGAACCUUUCCGAUGUCCGAAUAUAGUUGUCCAAUAUAUCAAUCUUUACGUCUCGACAAUUUCGAGACUCCUCGUCAUUUCCGCGAUCUCAUCCGGGACUCCGAACUCCUUCGGUACAUCAAAACUCAUAAACUCAUAAUAUAACUGUCAUCGAAACCUUAAGCGUGCGGACCCUACGGGUUCGAGAACUAUGUAGACAUGACCGAGACACGUCUCCGGUCAAUAAACAAUAGCGGAACCUAGAUUCUCAUAUUGGCUCCCACAUAUUCUACGAAGAUCUUUAUCGGUCAGACCGCAUAACAACAUACGUUGUUCCCUUUGUCAUCGGUAUGUUACUUGCCCGAGAUUCGGUCGUCGGUAUCUCAAUACCUAGUUCAAUCUUGUUACCGGCAAGUCUCUUUUACUCGUUCCGUAAUACAUCAUCCCGCAACUAACUUAUUAGUUACAAUGCUUGCAAGGCUUAAGUGAUGUGCAUUACCGAGAGGGCCCAGAGAUACCUCUUCGACAAUCGGAGUGACAAAUCCUAAUCUCGAAAUACGCCAACCCAACAAGUACCUUCGGAGACACCUGUAGAGCACCUUUAUAAUCACCCAGUUACGUUGUGACGUUUGGUAGCACACAAAGUGUUCCUCCGGUAAACGGGAGUUGCAUAAUCUCAUAGUCAUAGGAACAUGUAUAAGUUAUGAAGAAAGCAAUAGCAACAAACUAAACGAUCAAGUGCUAAGCUAAUGGAAUGGGUCAAGUCAAUCACAUCAUUCUCCUAAUGAUGUGAUCCCAUUGAUCAAGUGACAACUCAUGUCUAUGGCUAGGAAACAUAACCAUCUUCGAUCAACGAGCUAGUCAAGUAGAGGCAUACUAGUGACACUUUGUUUGUCUAUGUAUUCACACAUGUAUUAUGUUUCCGGUUAAUACAAUUCUAGCAUGAAUAAUAAAUAUUUAUCAUGAAAUAAGGAAAUAAAUAAUAACUUUAUUAUUGCCUCUAGGGCAUAUUUCCUUCAUUGAUCUCAAAUGAAAAAGAGCCAAUUAAUGUGUUGACAUUGGCUACUAAAGACAAUGAGACAAAUCAACCAAUUAUUGAGAGUCGUAGUGCCAAAUCUGAAGAAAAGAAGUUGAGAGUGCACAAGGUCAAAAAGGAAUUGCCAUUGGUCAAAAUAGAAUCACAGCCGAGAUGCCAACUCGGCUUAUCCUAUUGGCAAAAGAGGGAAUUACAAAAACUUAGUGCACAAGAACUUGAAGAAAGGAACAUGGCAUAGGUUCCCAAAGGAAGUGCUCAAAAUAAUAAUUAUGUGAAAGCAUCCAUUACACGACGUGCGGCAAAGAUGAAGAAGGAAAAGAGUGAAAACUAUGAAGGACCAAGCUGAAGGUUUCAACAUCUUCGGUCCACACAUUAUCCAUAUUCUUCAACUAUGCUGUUGAUGCCAAUGCCAUGGAAUUCAUCAUCAAGUAUGAUUGGUUACCCUCAAUGGGUUUAUUAUAAUCCAUAGAUGCAAUAUAAUUUCUUACAUCAUGAAAGGGUAUUGCCAAGUCACUAUACAUUUGAUUAGCUACAAGUUUGUUGCUGAUGCAAAGGAUCGAAAUACUUGAUUUGUCAUUUCAUUUGUUUAUUUCGGCUAUAUGUGCUUUGAAUAAAGUUUACAUGGUAAUGGCCGAUAUUUAUCGAUCGUCCUAAGAUUGUCUCAAUGCAUGGCCGGUGUAGUAUUCUAACAUCGUCCUUAGUUCGAUUGGAGAGCGAGACAAGGUACUUGCUCAUGGAAAUUUAUAUGUAUGCCUAUAUUAUGAUUGAAUGGAGUUGAGACAUCAUGACCGAUGUCAUUGAAUAUAUGCUGCAUAGACCAAUUCAUAGCUGCGGAAUUGGCUAGUGGGCUUAUACUUUGUUUAGAUAUGAUUUGGCUUAUGCAUCUUUGAGAUCUAUAAGAGGCCAAAUCAUAGCUGAUUUUAUUACUGAACAUCAGAUUAAUGUCAUGCAUAAUAUUAAUAUUAGCCUUGUCUCUCUAGUACUAUGGAGAUUAUGUUUUGAUGGUUCAAUUCAUAGCAAUUUCCAAAGUGUUGGUGUUGUUUAUAUAUCUCUUUAUGGUACUAUUUUUGAAGUCUCAUGCCACUUAGAAUAUUUCUAUGCAUGAUUAAUCAAGGCCGAAUAUGCAUUGUUAUUCGGAUUGACUCUUUUACUUGCUAUAGGUGCUAUACAUAUUGAGGCUUUUGGUAAUUCGUUAUGAGUAGUGCAACAAAUAUCUAAGGGUUAUCAAUGUUUUGAUGAAUCACUUAUAGUUUAUCUUGGGGUAUGUCUAGAUGCAAAAUUUACCUUGGGUUGCAUUAAAAUUGUUCAUAUAUUUAGACAUGUCAAUUGAAGAGAGUUGGCAUAGCAAGCAUCCUGCUACCAUGUCCGUCAUGGUGUAUUGCAUAUCUAUCAAUAGCCGAUGCUUAUUCUUGCCAACAUAGGUAAGGCCGAAUUGGAGCUCACUACCUCGGCCACUAAUGAAACUUUUAUGCAGACAAAGUAAGGUUUCGAGAAAGUUCAUUGUUGAUUAUCUGCAAGAUCCUAGCAGAAGAGUGGACAAUAUGGUUGGUGGAUGGUCUUGACAUGCAUACCUAUGGAACUUUAUAGUCGGAUUAAUGAAGUUAGGAAAGUCACCCAAGCUUGCAUCAAAAUAUUCACACAAGCAAUGGCCGAUAUAAGCUUAUCGUCCUAAGCAUAUGCAAAAUGGCCGAUGUAGUGUUGACAUCGUCCUUAGAGCAAGCUACAUGCAAGUUAUUUUUCGGCACGCAAGUUUUGCUGAAAAACAGGGGGGCAUGUGUUGACACCAGAUUUUGGCACGGUCAAGAACUUAUUUAAGAUGGCCUCAAAUGAAGAAAGUGAUAUAUAUGAAAGAGUUCUGUAUUAUUGAUAUGAACAUCUUUAAAGUUUGGGUCAUCGCGGUCCGAUUUCAUCUCGAAGGCUGAAACUAUGUUUAAAGUACUAAGAUCUUAUAUUCAGAGUACAGUUUGGCCGAUUAAGCCCCCAAGACGACCUUAAAUGGAAAAAUGAUCUACACGUGUUGUCUUCUCUCGUCGAAACGAUCGAUUUUGAUAUAAAAAUCGUCCAAAUCCGAGUUCGUAUGCAAAAGUUAGAGCAGUCGGAGUGCAGCCCUGUCACGAGACGAGAUGUGGCGCGGCCCACCAGACACAUGUCUGAUGGGUAGCGCAAGGGAAUAACUUGUUUUGUGCGACCGAUUUGACCCUCAAGAUGACCUCUGAUCAAAAAACUUCAACAUGAAAGUUGUUCGUCUCGUCGAAACGGUCAAGAUUGCUUUUGGGCUCGUUUUCAUCCGGGAUCGUUUACCACCACAAAAAAGACCCGCAAGGUGCAGCCAGUUUAAAUCGGACAGUUUUGGAAAGUUCGGAUAAAACCAAUCCGAAUUUGACUAGGGUUUUGGACGUGAAUCCAAGCCUUUUCCUUGCACGGGAAGUCCAGCCGCCUCUUAUAUAUCUAAGGGGUGACGGCCGAUUGAACAACACACAAUCAAUCAAUUCAUCUACCACUUUUUAUCUUUUAUCUUUUCUCCUUAACCCUAGUUCUUCUUCUUUCUCGUUCUUCAUCCGUUCUUCUUGUUGCAGGGCGGCGAACCUCGAGGCCCUAGGAGCGAUCAGGUCGACCUAGGGCAGCCCAUAGCCGCCGCGCGCCCUGACGGGGUCCCUCCCGGGCGCGUGGGGUUUCGGGUCAUCAAAAGCGCCCGCCGGAUUGCCUGCGUACCGCGCUUCCAGACGGGUCUCCUUCGACGUGAGCUGCGGUGCAUCACCCCGGCGUCGAAGGUACACGGUGACAUGUUCGUGUGCGAACACAUACCUGCGACAAGUAAUUCGGAACAAAGAGGGUAUAACCAACAUCUCAUUCUGCUUCAAUGAUGUACCAAUCACAUCAUUAAUAAUUUGAAAACAUGUUAACUGCAUUAAUCAUAAUGAGGAAAGACAUUAAAUACAUUAAACACAACUAAUCUUGGAAUUAACAUUAAUUAUGAUUAGUUUUGCAAAUAAUAUUACUGUCAAACCGAACGUGAGUGCACGUACACGAUUACUAGUUCUUCCUAACAGCACAGUUCUUACUUGCUUGGAAAUGAAUAGAAGAUGGACCCCCUAUUAUUCAGGCUUCUGUAAUUAUUAUUAUUUGCAUCGCGCAAAAUUUUGGACCGCUAGAUAUGGCCACAAACAGAUGCGCACUGCGGCCAGCAACGCUCCUGUAUGCCCCGCCGCACUCCUCCCUACCACCAUGGCGUCAUGCUGCCUCUGUCCCGAUCAUCCCUCUAAACCACCCCGUACGCUCCUGUAUGCCCCGCCGCACUCCUCCCUACCACCAUGGCGUCAUGCUGCCUCUGUCCCGAUCAUCCCUCUAAACCACCCCUUUCUCCGACGAACGCCGGCACCGACCCCCUACCCAGAGUCAACCUUCGAACUUCCUUUCGCGGUUCUCACUCAUCCACGGCUAGCACUCGCCGCCGAGACCACAGACGGCAACGACCUUCCCAUCUCGUGCUGAGGGCAGAGCAGAAAAGUGACCGAAGCGUCAAAAAAUUUCAGGCACAUGACGUUUAGCAAAAGCGAUACAAGAGCUUUGAGUACUUUUGCAAAGAAAAAAAAUCAAUGGUAACAAGCACGUGAAAGAAUCACAUCAGGCACAUGAUGUGAUAUGAAACUCUCACUGUGAGUAGCAGCUACUUAAAGCUGUAAGUCAUAAGAAAAAUACAUCCAUAUAUGACAUGUCCAUCAAUCCAAAUGUUAACGAAACCAGAAACCUAGACAUAAAGGUCACUCCGGUUUGCUCUAUGUGAGAUAAUCCAGACUAGCUGUAACGGAAAUUGAGAAUGGGACCGUAAAAAUCAGGUCCCAAGAAGCAAUGACAAAAUCGGGCGAGACGCUACUUUUCUAGUGCCGUCAACCACUAUCCACACUUGGCCGAUUAGUUAAUGGGAAGAACUGUCAUGGAGUAUGAGCAGAGGGGCCACUCUUCAUUGCCUGGACUGUUCCUUCUUGGCCUGUCUCCACAGUAUCUUCAUGUUUGCUCCUGUAACAAGAGUGGAAAACAUAAGAAUCUGAAGACGUCUAAUUCAGUAAUGAUAUCUAUGAAGGACAGACAGUUUUGGAAUGGCUUCCCAAUAUAUCUGCAUCAGGGUUAAUAAGAUUAGUAAGACAACUGAAUGGAACCCAUGAAAAUCUCCAUAGAUCUAUUCAGGAUAUCCUCAAGAACAAUGUUCUAGCACAUGUAUGCUUGCAUGGAGCAAAUAAUUACACAAUCUUCAUCAUAGAACACAAACACCAUUUCCCAGACACUGGUUAAUACUUCCUCCGUUCCAAAAUAUUUGCAGAGGAAGUAAUUAUCAACUUCUGCUUCAGCCAGAAGUCUAAUUUUUCUCUGUUUUUAGGAACAU